GAGUGAUUGGGGUGAGGUCGUAACAAGGUUUCCGUAGGUGAACCUGCAGAAGGAUCA
This 57-nucleotide ribosomal RNA is filed under the name uncultured eukaryote. RNAcentral's name for it is "partial small subunit ribosomal RNA". The record is from RNAcentral.